UUGCCUUCAAUUACAAAUCCAAUUAUGGAUGAUGACACAACAUUAGUCCAUCCUGAUGGUACUUUGAUUGACAUAGAAGAGGAAGAAGAUGAUGAUGAUGAUGAUGAUGAUGAAUUAGCUGAAGAUGAUGAGUUGUCCGAGCAAGAAGAUAAUGAUAAUUCGAGUGAUUCGGAUUAGGACGAUGCUGAUUAGGGUCAGAAUUAUUUACAUUUAAAUUAGAAUGUGGCAAUUUAAAUUUUGUUUUAUAAGUUUAAUUUUAUCAAUUUAAAUUUUUUAUACAAUGUAUUUACUUAUGCAUUUCUAUAUUUACUUUUAGAUGGCUAAUAGAGGACGAAGUGGAGCUGCAGUUAGUCGGGGGACUGAGCCUCUACAUUCAUCAUCAUCAGAGGGUGGUGGCAUUAGCGCAUCGGUGGGAGAUUUAUCAUUAGGUGGAGAAGAGGCUGGCUCAAGUAGCGAGGCAUCACUAUCUAGGGCUGGGAUGAAGGAGCUGACGAUCGUUAGGGGGUAUGUUAUCUAUUGUAUUUAAAUUUUUACAUGUAUUUCAACAUAUUAACCAUCAUAAUGUCAAUUGUAGGAUAUUAUGUCCCUCACAUGAUGUCUCUCAUGUGAUUACUGAGUCAUUCCAGCGAGUAAUGAAUCAGCAUGGCUUCUGUUGGAAAUUAGUGUCGGAUGAACAGAAGAAAGAGUAUUUCAAAGACUUUAAGGUAAAAAAUGAAUAUGAAACUAAUGAUGUUUAAAUGAUGUUUGAAAACUAAUGAUGUUUAAAUGAUGAAUUUUUUUGUAGAAAUUCUUCUACUGGACAGGAUUGAGUGAAGAUGUUGUGUACAAACAUUGGUACACGAGGGCAAGAGAUAGAUAUAAAGAUCUUAUUCAUAAGAUCAAGAGGUGCCGAAACAACGAGCAUCCACCUCCAUUCAUUCCUGGAAGAGAUUGGUCAAGUUGGAAAGAGUAUUGGGGUCGGGAUGAUGUGAAAGAAAAAGCAGAAAAGGCGCGAAGGAAUAGGAUGUCUGAACCAGAUGGAGUUGGAACAGGGAUCAUAAAGCAUAGAGGUGGCUCAAGAUGUGCUU
Molecule: long non-coding RNA, 1067 nt
Filed under: Salvia miltiorrhiza (redroot sage)
Lineage: Eukaryota; Viridiplantae; Streptophyta; Magnoliopsida; Lamiales; Lamiaceae
Description: long non-coding RNA (SMIL_LNC006638)
Source: RNAcentral